Pieris rapae (cabbage white) is the source of this 699-nucleotide long non-coding RNA. RefSeq lists it as uncharacterized. The record is from RefSeq and is a predicted model, not a curated record. Lineage: Eukaryota; Metazoa; Arthropoda; Insecta; Lepidoptera; Pieridae. The transcript is spliced from 4 exons.
UUUAAUUAUAAAUUGCUUUGAUUAAUUUCAUUUUAAUUUCUUUUCAUUUACUGCUGCUGAUGAGCUACUGGUCUCGACCCGGCUCUAGAUGCACUAUGGAUUGGGCCCUGGUGGUUUUAGUGGGUAUCGGGUCAUAGCAUUUUACAACCUUGACCCCCACACUCCCCGCGCCAUUCGUAUUUGCCCAGGCGUGGGGGCCCGUAAGCGGGUUUCCCCAGGUAAAAAAAAAAAAAAAAAAACUUGUGGUGCUUGAAAUUGUUUAUAGGCAAGAAGACUACCCUUCCGUGCCUGUAUACGAAAUUCAAGGAUUCAACGUGAAACACUUAGUGCCAGUCAGAAAAGUCAACGGCGUGUGUACGGCACAGGAGGCUGAUCACCCUACUUGCCUAUUAGAUUGACAAAUAUCAUGAAAGAGAUUUAGAAAUCUGAGGCCAAAAAGAGGAUUAUAACACGUAAUAGAGAUCUAUUAGCAUCUCUCAUUCCUGAGGUCCUUGGUUCGAUUCCUGGCUAUGCAGCUUUUUGUUUUUAUGCGCAUCUAACACUUGCUCGGUGAAGGGAAACAUCGUACGAAAACCGGAGGCAAACGGGCAGAAGGCGCUGAUGUUAGUUGAAGGCUAAAUAUUUUAAGUAUAAAUACAACAUUGAAGAUUCACAAUCGUUUCACAUUUCACCGUUAUUAAUAAAACCAUAUUGGAGAUA